GUGUAAGGCAAGUACGUUUUCUCAAUUAGAAAAGCCGUAUGUUGGGAUCGGGGAUGCCUCUGUGAAAGCUCUGUAGCACUGGGGCUUUUUGUUCUGUGUUCUAAUCUUUCCCUCCUACUCCACAGACAUUAUUUAUUCUAAGCUUCCCCCUAUGCAUCAGUUUAUAGGUAACAAGCUUCUCCCCUUCUUUUCUGGGACAGGUUCUCACUGUACAUCCCUGACUGGCCUGGAAUUCAUUAUGUAGACUAGGCUGGCCUCGAACUCAGAAAGAUCCAUCAUCUCCUCUAUUCUCUAUGUGCUGGGAUUAUAGGC
Molecule: long non-coding RNA, 312 nt
Filed under: Androctonus crassicauda
Lineage: Eukaryota; Metazoa; Arthropoda; Arachnida; Scorpiones; Buthidae
Source: RNAcentral